Small nuclear RNA from Moschus moschiferus (Siberian musk deer), 103 nucleotides. The record is from Ensembl. NCBI's taxonomy places the organism in Eukaryota, Metazoa, Chordata, Mammalia, Artiodactyla, Moschidae.
GUGCUCGCUUCAGCAGCAUAUAUACAAAAAUUGGAAUGAUAUAGAGAUUAGUAUGACCCUGUGCAAGGAUGACAUAUAAAUGACUUAGGAAUGUCCUAAUGGA